Molecule: long non-coding RNA, 30329 nt
Filed under: Marmota monax (woodchuck)
Lineage: Eukaryota; Metazoa; Chordata; Mammalia; Rodentia; Sciuridae
Rfam family: tRNA (bases 13005-13075)
Source: RNAcentral
ACGUAUUCGGCAGCGGCUUUAAGGCAGUAAGUACUGCUCCGCGUCUCAGAAAAAUAUUCCCCUAGUGAGAAAACUGUGAAGCGAAAGCGGAUAGAUUGAAUUACAAAGUCUUCUCCCAUUCGCGUUAUAUUUUGUGAACUCUGCCUCUCAAACUCGAGGCCGAACGUCUGGCCGUGACUCAUCAUAUAACAAAAAGCAGAAGGCCGGAAGUCUUUUCCUACGCCCAGGAGGUGGACGCUGCCCCCCGGGGGAGUCAAGCGCCGGAAAUAGCAAUUGAACGUUUCCGCCGCUUUCCUGUCAAGUGCUCUUGCUUUUCGCCCUCAAACCUUAUGAAAGUGAUUGAAAGAUCGGUCUGGACAUUUUUUGGCUCCGCCACAGACUAGGGUCCACAGUUAUCUUACCUUUAAGUUCACCCAACUUUUAUUGAACAACUACGACGUGUCGGCGAGCUGCUUUUAAGUUUUUUCUGCUUGCAGUAGCCUUUGAUGGGCAAGCUAAAAUGUGACUUAAGUAUAGACACAAUUAAAAAAAACGUAGCUGACAAUAAGAUACUGACAGGUUCCGAUGAUACUAGCACAUAUAAAAAUGAACAUGAAUGAAUGGAGAAACACUUGAAGCAGGGAUAUGUACUGUGGGCUAUUAUAUCUUAAGUUUUUCUAGGCCUCUUCUGAGCUCCAGGCAUGGGAUAAAGCCCUGAAAAAAAAAUGGGGUAUUCAAAAAGUAAUAAAUGCUAUGAAGAAUACAGGAUAGGAGGAUAAGGAGUUGGGGAGGACAGGUGUGGAAGGUUCAGGCAGGAAAGGAUGAAACCUGAACUGGGGCAGAAGAUGAUAUUGAAAAGUAUUGUUCAACGAUCCCAGUUUUCAAGAACCUAUCAGCUUUUUAAAUAAGCAGCUCCGCUAGACUGCCCUCCUUCGGAGCAGGUUUUUUUUCUUUGUAUCUCCAAUCUCUAGCAUGGCUUCCCAAAACAUAGUAAAUCAUUAAAUGUUUGCUAUUGAGUAAAUACCCGCAGCGACAUUGUCUAUAUUGUGUUAAGAAUUAUUUUUCUCUCCAAAGCAAUAAUGCCAGAAGUGAGAAAUCAUCCAAGUACAGCUAGCAAUUAGAUUUUCCUUACUAAAAAACAGAAUUUACAUCUUUAAGUGUGACCUAUUAGUUUUCCUUUAUUUUUUACUUUGCAGUACUAGAGAUUGAAUCUACAGCUUAACACAUGCUCAGCCAAGCGCCCUACCGCUGAGCUACAUUUCCAGCUCUUAGAAUUUUGCUUUAAAAAGAUCUCUUAGUGGGGCGUGGUGGCACAAGCCUGUAAUCCUAGCUGUUUAGGAGGCUGAGGCCAGAGGAUCACAAGUUCAAAGCCAGCCUCAUCAAAUUAGUGAGACCCUGUAUCAAAACAUAACAAAAAAGGCUGGGGAUGAGGCUCCGUGGUUAAGCCCCCAUGGAUUCAAUCACUACAAUAAGUUCAAAAAAAAAAAAAAAAAACUCUGAAUUUUACAAGUCACCAGAUUCAAAAUAUGGCAACACCGUAUAGUGUGGCAUUCCAUGUAUUCAUUCUAUGUAUUCAUUCCACCAACAAAUCCAGCUGGGAAUAGAGUGAUGAACAAGAAAUUUUCUAGUUCUUUUGAUUGUGAAUAGUUCCAGAAGGAGAUAAAGACACAUAGCCCAUAGCCUGGCCAAAGAGUUCUCUAAAGAAGGAAAUUUAAGCUGACAUUUGAAAAAUAUAUAGGAAUGGUGCAAGAAUGUGUAGGAAUGGGUUUGUCAAAAAGCUUUUGAUAAUCGGGUCAGUAUGGCUAAAUUACAAUAAUCUGGGAGCAAAAGGGAAAGAGAUGAGUGGCAAAAAAAAAUCAUACAAAACCUAAGAGUAAGUCACUAUUUUGUGUAUUUUUUUUGUAUCAUUGGAUUCCCAGCUCUUUGAAUGGUUUCUGAAACUCUGUAGUAUUUAUUCAGUAAAUAAUGACUGAACAAAUGAAGAGAAGUCAUGAUCACAAGUGUUUUCCAAGUAGAUCACUGUGGCUGAUGUGUGAAAAAUAAAUUGGAUGGUGAAGGGCCAGGGAAAGUCUGUAAAUGAGAAAAGAGGGAGCAGAGCCAGGUAUGUGAUCUGUGCCUAAAGUUCCAACUACUCAAGAGGCAGAGGUAGGAAGAUUGCUUGAACCCAGGAAUUAUGGGCCAGCCAGGGAAACAUAGAGAGACCUGACUCAAACUUUAAAAAGAAAAGGAAGAGGAAGAAGUUGAGAGGCUACUAAAUAAUAUAGGCAAUAAAAAAUAACUUGAGUUUGGGGAAUGAUGGUGGAGAUAGAUAAGUGGUGUAUUUAGGAGGUAGAAUUGACAGGUUUAUUAGUAGUUGAUUUGAUGUGGGGGAAUAAAGAAGAGAGUAGUGUAGGCAUAACUUUCUAGCUGAUUUUCUGGCUGGAUAGAUGAUAAUCCCAGUAAUUUUCAGAGUUUCUGAAAGGCAAACAUUUUAGAAGGAGAAGAGCAUUGGCUCAGUUUUGGACUUUGAGUCAGGUUGAGUUCAAAAAAGAGACCUAAAUUGGAGAUCAAAAUGUUGUGGUUUAUCAGUUUCUAAGUUGUAACCAAAGCCUACUGAAUAAGACCACCUCAACCCCCAUUGAAAUUGUGAAGUAAAAAGAGAAAAGGGCCCUAGGACCAAGCUGUGAAGAGGAAGAACUCACAAAAGAGACUGCCAAAUUGGUAAGAGAAAAAGCAGAAUGUGAUGUCCAAGGAAAAAAUAAUUCUCUGAUGCUGGGCUGAGUAUAAUUUCGAGCCCAUAGCAAAUGUCAGAAUUUCAGAUUAAAUGUAUCAAAUAUGAAAAUUGAUAAGGCAUCACAGAAGUACUUUAGUUUGGGUCCUUUAGAUACAAAAAUAAAUACCUAGCAAUGGAGAUGAAGCUCACAAAUGACCUAUGGCAUAACCAGGACUUUCAAACCAAAAGCAUUAUUUUCCCAUUGAAAAUAAUUUUAAAAGUUGCCACACCUCAUUUGCUCUUUUUUAAAAUGUGUUUUUAGUUGUAAAAGGAGACAAUAACUUUAUUUUGUGUAUUUAUUCUUAUGUGGUGCUGAGGAUCGAACCCAGUGCCUCACGUGUGCAAGGCAAGUGCUCUACCUCUGAGACACAACCCCAAUCCCAUACCUCAUUUGAAUACUCAUAGUUAUUAUAAAAAGUAUUUCCUGGAGGAAACAUUAAGUCAAGCUACUUCCAUUUAUAAGAAAUUGAGCUAAAAUAAAUAAAUAAUAAAGUUAAAGAUCACAGGAUUAUAAUUUUAACCCUAUUUAUCUAGUCUUUCUUACAGUAUAUAAAUGCUUUUUUUUUCCAUUUCCACUCCAUCAUUAGCAUCCUAUACUCCUUUCCAGCUUACCUCGUAGAUUUCCUUCUCAUGAGGUAGUGACCCUUUGCUCUCUAUUAUUCUGAUGAAGUUCAGAAAUCAUGAAAAAAUAAAAACAUCUCAUUUCUAUGUUUGAUGCCUACCUCUGAAAAUUAUUUUAAUUUUAGUCAAUGUGAUAGCUGUCUACCUACCAGAGAAACAAAUCUGAGCUUUACUCCUAAAAACUCAAAGGUAAGUUAUUCUUAACCCCAUUAUUCGCCUUUAUAUUUUGAGAGUUAGGAAAAGUCAAAAGUAUGAUGGAGUAUUGGUUCUACGUUGAGUAGAUGUAGAAUUCAAUACGUCUGGUGUGGCAUAAGCCCAUUUAGCUUCAAGCCCAGAAUUAUCUUCCUUUUUCUAGUACCUAAAAUUCCCGUAUCUGUGAUUCAUUGUAAUCUUUUAUGACUCCUCUUAAAUGCCUGUUACACUUUUGAAAGAAAUGAAAACUAAGGCCAUUUUGUGACUAGUGUUUCAAUUUUAGAACACUCUCUGGGAAACUUGAGAUCAUCAUAAACCUGGGGUGGGUGAGGAAAUUACUAAAUGUAGGUGAAAAGGCAAAGAGGAGGUAGGUAACAACAGAAUUAUUAUUUACAAAAUACUGUCUGUGGCCCACGCUCUAAGAAAUUAUACCUUUGGAGCUCUAGCUAUUAUGGGUCCCACCCACUGAUUGUUAUCCACCUUUGGCAGUUUUGUAUCCAGGUCAAGAAAUAGGCCUAUUUUUAUGGAGCUUUGUUUAUGUAAUAUACAAAGUAAUUUAUGAGAUUAUAAAAACAGUUUUCUCCUUUAUUAUAAACAUGGUUAUAGGAGGAAUUUAGUGCUUAGACCUUAAGAUAAAUUAGGAAUUGCUCUAAAAAUUAUGCCAAAUGAAAGAUUAUUCUAUAACCAGUGCCCCUCUUCUGGUUUAAAGAUAUGCAUUUUAAGACUUUGUCUAGAAAGGAAAAUGUGAAGACACAAAAAUUAUGUUUAUAAUAUAUAAUUCAGAUUAUGUUGUUAUUCUUUUUAAAAUUCAUCAAUGGCCCCUCUUUUAUUUUUUUCCUCCUGGUACUGGGGAUUGAACCCCAGGGGCACACUGCCACUGACUACAUCCCCAAUACUUUUUUAAAUUUUUAUUUUGAGAUAUAGUCUCUCUAAAUUGCUCAGACUGGUCUGAAAUUUGUAAUCCUCCUGCCUCAGUCUCCCCAAUAGCUGGGAUUAUAGGCCUGUGCUAGCAUACCUGGAACACACUGACUGGCUAGCUGAGUAUUUUAUUUAUUUGUUUGUUUGUGUUUGUUUUGGUUACUGGGGAUUGAAACCAGGAGUACUUUACCACUGAGCUAGUCCCAAGUCCUUUUCACUUUUUAUUUUAAGACAGGGCUCAUUAAGUUGCUAAAACUGGCUGGGAUUACAGGGGAGCACCAUUAUGCCCAGUCACAAUGACUUUCUUACUCUAACACACCAGGAUAUUUCCUUUUUUAGGGCUGUUAUCUCUGCCUCUUGGCCUGGAAUAUUCUUCCUUUAAAUUUUGCAUUGCUGGCUCCUCAUGAGUCAUACAACAGUUCAAAUGUCAUUCUCAAGAAGUGUCUUCUAUUAUCCAAAAUAGUAUUCAUUAUUUGAAAUUAUAUUAUUUAUUUGUGUAUCGGCUUUUUGACUAUAUACUGUCUAUAUUAUCAGUCCAUGCAGAGUUGGUAUUUCAUUUGUCUUAUUUCCGACCAUAUGGCUAGAAUCAAAAAUCAUGCCUAGUAUAUAUUGAAUAUUCAAUAAACACUUGUUGAGUUAAUCAAUGAAUGAUACAGAAAGGGAGGACAAUUGAAGUUUCAAGACCAAUUGAGUGUGUAUAGCUUUAAAUUUGAGAUGAACACCUUUAUCAUUGGGCUAGGAAAGAAGAUAUAGGCAGAGAUAGGUACAGAUGUAGCAAAAAAAUUAACUAGUAUUAGGAAGAAGGAAGCAACUAGAAUUUAUUUAUUUACUUUGUUACUAGAGAUUGAACCCCAGGGCACUUUACCACUGAGCUACAUUCCCAGCCCUUUUUAUAUUUUAUUUUGAGACAAGGCCUCACUAAAUUGCUGAGGCUGGCUUUGAACUUGUGAUCUUACUGCCUGCCUCCCAAGCCACUGGGAUUAUAGGUAUGUGCCACCGCACCUAGCCCCCCAACCCCCAAGUAGUGGGGAUUGAACCCAGGGUACUCUAUCACCAAGCUCCACCCCUAGCCUUUUUAUUUGAUUUUAUGAUAGGAAUUUGCUAUGGUUCCCAGGUUGACCUCAAACUUGCCUCAGCUUCCCACAUUGCUGGGAUUACAAGCAUGUGCCACUGUGCUUAGGUUUUUAGACUCAGGGCCCCCUGAACAUGCUAGGUAAGUGCACUACCAUUGAGCUACACUCCCAGUGUAGCAGCAGGAAUUUAAAAGAGUUUUUGUCUGAUAGUCCUCAGCCUCUGUUCUCCUUUUGAAAUAUGAUACAAAGUCAGUGCUGUGACUGAGGGAUAGGUAGUGUGAGGGGUCUUGCUUUCUUGGAAAUAAGUAAAUAAGAUAUUUGCUUUUACUGUUUGUUUAAAUUUCACACAUCUUGAAACCAAGCCCAGGUGGUAGUUUCUGUUUCCUGAGUAACUAUCAUACUUUGUGCCAAGCAUUUUACUUUCAUUGACUCAUUUAAUCUUCACAAAAAUCUGAAUCUGACACUCACUAGUUGACAGAGAAGUUAAAUAUCUUGUACAAAAAAAAAAAAAAUGAAGCUACCAGAAUUGCAAACUAUAUGUUUCUGAGUCAAAGAUUAUAUUCUUUCAUCUCUUAUGUGUUGCCUAUCAGUAACCCAAUGUGGUUAAUUCCCAAUCUAAUCUUUAAUUGCAAAGUAACAAAUGUCAUAACUAAUAUAUCCCAAAAGGACAGUUCAUCACUAUGACUAAGAAAAUAUCUGGCUUAAAUCAUAUUGUUAUGUCCUGGGCAUGUACCAAUGUGUAGCAAUGAAUCCCACCAUUCUGUAUGAUUAUAAUGCAUCAAUAAAAAUACAGAAAAAAAGUAAGUAUCUAAUAUUCCAAUAAUCAUCCUUCCUUUCUGAAUUAUUAGGUCUAAAAGUCACUUACUGAGAUGGGGAUGUAGCUCAGUGGUAAAGCACUUGCCUAGCACAUAUAAGGCUCGGGUGCCAUCCCUAUAUAGCUAAUAAUAAUAAUAAUAAUAAUUAAUAAAUAAACAAAGUCACUUACUUAGGUGGACUAAGCAAGCCAGGACCUCUGGGUAGGAGCAACACAAUGAUAUGUGUCAGGACACGAACAAUGUAAGGAGGUGACCAUGAGGGCUAAUGGUGCAAGUGUCUGAGUCCAAAGAAAGGAGAGUGAGGGGUGAGGGCAGCAGUCCUAAUGGGAAAUUGGUUACAUACAGGGGUGUUUUGGCAUAUAAGUAAAUAUAUUGAAGAUAAUGAGAACCAGGUUUAUCACUGUGUGCUGGGUUUCUGUUCUCGCAACUAAAAGGCUCAGGGGUCACUCCAGUUGAACUGGGCUAACUGGUCUGCACAAAAUAACCCCACAGGAGACACAAAUACCUUUUUCUUUGGGGUCGCUAUGACAGCUUCUCUGACCUUAAGGGUUCGCAGGAAGAGAGAGAGAGAGCAGGAGCUGACCCCUUUUAUUGAGGAGAAGCUAUUCAAAUGAGGCAAGGGGUCAGGUUUCAGGGAGCUGAGUCUAUCUUCAUGAUGUCCACUGUCAGCAGGUUGACUGACACCUGGGUAGGCCACACCCAAGGGCACAGUAAGAGAAGGGGACACACACAAGGCACUUCCAUGGAAGAUUCUAUCCUAAACAGGGCAAGGGAUUAUAUUACAAAGGAACAGGUAAGCAUAGCUUCACCCAUGGGGCUGUAGCAAGACACAUCCAUGCAGGAGACACCGACCCUGGAACCCAAGAAGGGUAGGGAAAGCUCUGCCACAUUUCUGUGACUAAGUGCCUCAGCACCCAGCUAGGGAGUGUGACUCAGUCACGUGUAAGGUUGGUCUCCCACAACUAGGGGAGGCAGAAGUUAAAAGAUGGAAAAGCAGAAAAUUGGAAUGAACUCUGCGAUGUUAAAUUAUGUUGUACAUAAUUUGAGACUAUGUAAGCUUGGUCAAGUGCAUGCCUAACCUGUCCCUAGGUUUAACAUCACAAAGUUCAUAAUUUAAAGUAUCAAAGUUAAAUUAUUAAGUAUCAAAGUGAACUCAUGAUUUUCAAUAGUGUUUUAGUUAGGGUUUUCAUCACUCUGACCAAAAUACCUGACAAGAACAAUUAUAGAGGAAAAGUUUAUUUGGGGCUCACAGUUUCAGAGGUUUAGUUGGUGGUUGGCUGAUUCCAUAGAUCCGGGCUAGAGAUGAAGCAGAACAUCAAGGCAGAAGGGUAAGGAAAGAAUGGAGGAAAGCAGCUCAGGACAUGGCAAUCAGAAAAAGAAAGACAGUUUAGCUCACCAGAACAAAAUGUAUACCCCAAAAGCACACCCCCAAAGGCACCUCCUUCAGCCAUACCCUACCUUACCAACAGUUACCACCCAGUUAAUCCAUUUGAAAUUAGGUUAAAAUUCUCAUAACUGAAUCAUUUCACCUCUAAACUUUCUUGUGUUGUCUCACACAUGAGCUUUUGGAGGACACCUCAUCUCUAAACCAUAAUAAAUGUAUAGAGAGAAAUAAAUAUAUGUGUCCAUGUAUAUGAAUAUGUAUAUACAUGCAUAUAUUUUCUAGGAGCAGUGACUCCCCAAUAGCAGUGAGCAUACCUAAACCCCCAUCUUGAUUAUAAUUAUCAUUCUCCACUAAAAUGCCAUUUUCCACUAAUAGCAACCAGGGUUUCUGUGAGAAAUAGCUGAUUCCAAGGCUAGGGCAGAGAAAAUUCAAGAUGAGCCUGGAACAUCUUGUUAAACCAGAAAGUAAGGAAAUGUUCAAAGAAUGAUGAAGACAUGUCAAAAAGACAUAAAGCCCAGAUGUGGUAGCAUAUACCUUGUAAUCCCAGUUAUUCAGGAAGCAGAGGCAGGAGGAUUGCAAGCCUGAGCAAUUUGGCAAUACUUGUUUCAAAAUAAAAAUAGUGUUGGUGAUAUAACUUAGUGGUAAAGCACCCCUGGGUUCAAUUUUCAGUACACACACACAAAUAAAUAAAUAAUAAAAAAUAACAGGACAGCUUAAAUAGAUUCUCACUCCUAUGGCCAGAAUGGGAACAACUGAACAUCAAAACAAAUAAUGAUAAAAUAGAUAACUCAUUUUAUAAAAUAGAAAUCCACGCAUCUAAACUGAUGAGUAGAAUGAAUGAAUGAAUGAGAGGAAAAAGGUUUUUGUUACAAUACCAACAAUGAAUAUGGACUGGAUGAUGAAAUUAGAAAAUCACCAUUUGGCAACUAUACUAGCAAUUAAUUCAACCAAGAAAUAUUUAAGUACUACUUUUAAAUUUGAUAAAGGAUAGGAUAUCUACAUAGUCUCAAAGUAUCUCACCACAAAAUAAUUAUUAAGAAGAAACAAAGGGGAUCCGUUUGUGACUCAGCAGUAGAGCACUCGCCUAGCAUGCGCAAGGUGCUGGAGUCAAUCCUCAGCAUCACAUAAAAAUAAAUAAAUAAAAUAAAGGUAUUGUGUCCAACUACAAAAAAGAAUUUUAAAAAAGAAGACACGACACAAAGGAUGUGACUCUACUUUGUGUGUGACCAGAGAUGUAAAAAAUUGUGCUCUCUAUGUGUAAUAUGAAUUGUAAUGCAUUCUGUUGUCAUAAAUAACAAAUCAAAAUUUUUUUUAAAAAAAGAAACAAAGAAAAUUUUUAUAAUGGGAAAACCUGACAAACACCAUUUCUGAGCACAGUAACAUUAUUACUAAGGAACAAAUUGCAAUUGUUAUCAGUUAACAGUAUACAAUGAAGAAAAAUCCAGCAUCAGUUCUGUGCUAUUCCUACCCAAAAUGUACAACUUGAAUCUAGUCAAGAGGAAACAGACUAACCCAAAAUGAGGGACAUUAUAUAAAAUAGCCCACCAAUAAUCUUUAAAAAGUAGCAAAGUGAUGAAAGUCAAAGAAAGACUAAGAAACUGUUCUGAAUAAGGACUAAUGAGACCUGAUAACUAAAUGCAUAAUUAUAAAUGGCAUUAUCAGGACAAUUAACUAAAGAGUUCUGUGGAUUACGUGAUAGUAAUGAAUCAAUGUUAGUUUCCUGAUUUGGGGCUGGGAAUGUAGCUCAGUGGUCAAGUGCAUACCUAACCUGUCCUAGAUCCUGGGUUUGAUCCCCAGCAUGUGCGCACACACAAAGAAAAAAAAGUCCUGAUUUUUGAGGAUUUUAGGGUAACCAGACAUCAUAUUGGCAAUAUAUUCUCAAGUUGUUCAGGAAGGAAGGCAGCCUCUCUGUACUGUUGUUAUAACUUUCCUGCACAUUUGAAAUUAUUUUUUUAAAAGGAAAAAUAUCACUGAGGGGAACAAAAUGAGCACAAUUUGAAACAUUGAAACUGCCUGCCAGUGUCUUAAAUGUAAAAUGUGAGUCCUGGAAUUUGUGGAGAAAAACAAUGUUUGUGGGGGUAAUGGUAGUAAUUAUUCUCUGUCUAUCCACACCCUCCAAAAUCAUGCUGAAGAUUUUCCUUUUAGAAGCCUUCUUUGACUAUUCUAGUCCAUACUUAUCACCCAUUCCAUACCUAAACUCAGAAUGUACAUUGUUUAUUUCACUUCUUUAGUACUUUUUUUUUUGAUACUUGGACACAAUACCUUUAUUUCACUUAUUUAUUUUUAUAUGGUGCUGAGGAUCGAACCCUAGGUCUCACACAUGCAAGGCAAGUGCUCUACUGCUGAGCCACAACCCCAGCCCCUCUUAGUACUUAGUCAUAUAUAACCUUGUGACUUCUCUUGUAUUAUUAUUGUCUUGUAUAAAUUUUAAGUUCUUGUUUAAAUCUUGUGAAUGUUAUUUUCUUAAACAUAAUAAGUUUAGAAACAGAUAUCACAUAUGGUUUCUUUCUCUCCUCAACAUUACCUAAUACAUGUUUUACAAUCACAUUUUCAUAUCCUAAGGACUGUCAAAAAUAAUUGAUUUUGCCAAGCAAAAAUUUCAUACAUACCAACUAUAUAUUAGGCACUGUAAAUAAUAAUUACUUACAUGUAUAGGAUGCAUUGUAGUUAAUAAAACAUCUACACACCCAUUAUCUCAUUUGUUAUUUCUAACAACUCUGUGAAAUAGGUGCUGCCAUAUGAUAAACAAACACAGAGAGGAAUUGUGAAUUAUUUAAAGCCAUAUAGCUUUUAAAGAGCAGAAUUGGAAUGCCACCUUCAUUCUUCAGAUUACAAGUUCAGUUUCCUUUUUUUUUUUUUGCUUCACAUAGAAAGCAAAUAACAAGUCUGGACACUCUGAUGUUCAUAAAUAUUGUAUUAGUUUUCUACUGCUGCUGUAACAAAUUACCACAAACUCAGCGCCUUAGGUGAUACAAAUGUAUUAUAGUUCUGUAAGGAUAAAAGCCUGAUACAGGUCACCCUGAGCUAAAAUCAUGAGGUUAGCAGAGUUGCAUUUCUUCCUAAAGUCUAGAAGAGACUCUGUUUCCUUGUUGUUUCCAGCUUCUAGAUGCUACUCAUAUUUUUUGACUUGGAUUCCCUUCCUCCAUCUUCAAAGAAAAAAAACAUUGCAUCUCUAGAUACAUCCUCCUCUGACCCCCUAUUCCACUUUGAGGGAUCCUCACAAUCAUGUUUGAUCUACCCAGAUAAUCCAAAAUAGUAUCUCUAUUUUAGAAUUAGCUGAUUAGCAACCUAAUUACUUCAGAAAACUUAACUGUCCUUUGCCAUAUAUCCUAACAUAUUCACAGAUUCCAGGGAUUAGGACAUGAAUAUCUUUGAGAGUCCUAUCGUGUGGAUGUUCUUCAAAUAUGCACUUUCCAAAGAUCCACUGAGCAUUUUCAUAUCUUAACUCAUGGUAUGAAUAGUUCUUCCAUCUACUGAAAAAUCAACCAUUAGAUUCCAACAGGACAAUUUGUUUACUGGAAUAUUGACUUUUAGCAAUUAGUUUACCAAAAACAUAAGCCACAGUUGAUUUACAAAAUUUAGCAUCUUCUAAGUCCACUGUUCCCAUUCAACAAACAAGGAGGUCAAUGACAUUAAGUAACUUGCCUAAGGACAUACAGCUAGUAAGCAAUAGAGCAGUAAUCCAAACUUGGACCCUAUUUACAAAGCUCAAAAGCUAGAAGCUUUUAUCACACCAUUUUCUCACCAAUAAUAGAAACUCCUAGGGCCUACAUUUUUUAAAAAAUCCAAAUAAAAUUUACUGCAACUUUUUGUAGAGUUUAAUUUGUGCUACAAGAUGGGCCUCAUAGAAAAUUAUUUAAAGCCCCUCAGGAAAAAUAUCCAUGGCUUAAGGUAUAACCACUUUUGUUUCUUCUUUGGGGAAAAAGAUGAGAGAUGAUCUCUGGGUCAAAUGAAGGUGAGGAGUAGAGAAGCAGAACUUAAGGUUAUUUUGUGUGAUGAUGAAAGAAUUGUGCUAAUUGAUUCUUGUAGCAUAAAAUGAGAAGUGUCUUUUUUUUUGUCAGUUGGUCUUCAGUGGCUUCAGUAGAUAUAAAACAAUAUCUCAUCCCAACAAAAGGAUUACACAUUGAUUAAACUAACUUGUUUCAACUGGGGCCUACAUUUAAUGCCUGUGAUUUAAACAUUAAUUUGUUCCUUUGAAUCAUCCACUUUUUUUCUGUUUUUUUCUUUUCUUGGAACCCAGGAAUAUACAGCCACUAGCUACACCCCCAGUUCCUUUUUUAUUUUGAUACAGUGUCUCCAUAUAUUUCCCAGGAUAGCCUUGAACCUGUGAUCCUCCAGCCUCAGCCUCCUGAGUUUUCUGGGAUUACAGGUGUGUGCCUGAUUGGAUUAUCUAUUUUGGGGAGUGGAACCCAGGAGUGCUUAACCACUGAGCAACCCCCCCAAUCCCCCUUUUUUUGCUUUAAUCUUUUUACUUAUAUAUGACAGUGGAAUGCAUUACAUUUGGAUUACUGCUCUAUUGCUUACUAGCUGUUACGUGUUAAAAAGUUAUCUCUGGUUAUAUACAAAGUAUAUUCACAUGAAUUCAUACAUGUACUUUAGAUAAUAAUGACCAUCACAUUCCACCAUCAUUUCUAACCCCAUGUCCCCUCCCUUCCCCUACAACCCCUCUGCCCUAUCUAGAGUUCAUAUAUUCCUCCCAUGCUCGCUCUCCCUACCCCACUAUGAAUCAGCCUCCUUAUAUCAGAGAAACAUUCAGCAUUUGUUUCUUGGGGGAUUGGCUAACUUAACUUAGCAUUAUCUUCUCUAACUCCAUCCAUUUAUCUGAAAGUGCCUUUUUUAUAUUUUAUCUAGAAACAGGGUCUCGCUGAGUUACUUAGGGCCUUGCUAAAUUUCUGAAGCUGACUUUGAAUUCAUAAUCCUCCUGCCUCAGCCUCCUGAGCUACUAGGAUUACAGGUGUGUGCCACUGAGCCCAUCUUGGAUCAUCUACUUCUUACAGACUGCCUUGAAAAUGCAAAUCACUGCAGUAGAGGCAAUAAUAUUACAGAAAAUGUUUGGCAUUUAAUGAAUUUAAUAUUUGUAGUUUCCACUAAUCAAAAGUGAACCAAGGGCUGGGGAUGUGGCUCAAGCGGUAGCGUGCUUGCCCGGUAUGCGUGCGGCCCGGGUUCGAUCCUCAGCACCACAUACAAACAAAGAUGUUGUGUCCGCCGAAUAUUUAAAAUAAAUAAAUAAAUAUUUAAAAAAAAAAAAAAAGUGAACCAACCCCAGGGCUGGGGUUGUAGCUCAGUGGUUGAGCGCUUGCCUCGCAUGCAUGAGGCACUGGGUUCAAUCCUCAGUACCUUAUAAAACAAUAAAUAAAUAAAACAAAGAUAUUUUGUCCAUCUACAGCUAAAAAUAAAAUAAAAUAAAAACUUUAAAAAGUGAAUCCCAGUGAUCCCUGACCUGGAAUAAUGUUAACAUUACUAAAGUUUGGUUUAAAUCACUCACUAGAAUUCUGGUGUUAUGGUUUGGGUACGAGGUGUUGUGCAAAAGCUCCUGUGUUAAUUUAUAGGAAUGUUUAGAGGUGAAAUUAUUGGGUUGUGAGAAGCCAUAACCCAAUCAUCCUAAUUUGAAUGGACUAACUGGGUGGUAACUAUACAUAGGUGGGACUUGAUUGGAGGAGGCAGAUACUGGGGACAUGCCCUGGAAGGGUUCAUCUUCCCUGUGGUUCCUUCCCCUUUCUGUCUGCUUGCCAGCACCAAGAAGUAACCAGUGCUCCUCCACUAUGCUCUUCACCAUGGUGUUCUGCUUCACCUCAAGCCCAGAGCAAUGGGGACUAAAACCAUGAAUUAAAUUGAAGUUUUCCUCUUCUAAGUUGUUUUUGUCAGGUAUUUUGGAUACCUGACAAAGCAAAGCUGUGGGGAAAUGUCCCUUAGUAAUUCAGUCUAGUCAAUCUCCUAGAAUCCAAGUUUUAAAUUUGCUUUACUAUAUGAUUUUCAUCAUAUGUGUCUUAUUUGGAAAUUAUACUCUAUAAUGUCAUUCCUAAGAGAGGAUAUUUUUCAAGAGUCUUAAUUAAGAUGAAUUCUUUGGUAAUAUCAAGAAUCUAUAUCAUAGUGACAAGAAGCUGUCAAGGGUGAUCCCAUAUCAGCUUGAGAAGUUGCAUAUUAUAAUAGUAUCAGGAGACAUGGGUUAACCUCACUACUUGUGAGUCAUAUGAUCUAGGGGAAAUUAUGUAAUUUCUUUAAGCCUCAGCUGCUUCUAAAAAUGGAUAUAGAUUCUUGCUUAAUAAAGUUGUAAGGCUUAAAUAAAAUGAUGGAUGUACAAGUGUGUGGCAAAGGAAGACAAAAUCCUGAUAGGAGUGUGCAUGAGUAUGUAAGCAGACAGCUGUAAAAAACAAUUAAAAAGGCAUAGUAGGGGUUGGGUUCAAAUCUUUACUGUUGCUUGUGUGAUCUUGGACAAGUUCUAAGUCCUUAGAAACUCUUAAUCUUGAUUUUCUCAUUUAUAAAACACAUCCUUCAUAGAGUUGUUGUGAGCAUUAAAUGCCAUUAUACUCUAAGAGCAAUUAUUCUAGAGUCUGACCCCAAGUAUACGUUCAAGAACUGUGCACUCUUUUAGAGUGCAAGUACAAAGGUUCCAGAUGGUUGUCUUUAAUUGACCUGAUGAUGACAGACGUGAUUUCUUGUUAAACCACAAGGCGGAGCUAGAGACAUAGGAGUGGAUGUCUUAUUUAACAGGAAUCUUCAGAUUUCAGGGAGAAAAAGAAGUAGUUUUUCAUAUGGAAUCUUCAGAUUUCAGGGAGCAAAGAAGUAGUCUCUCAGAGUCCAUGGGUUUUGCCAAAACAAAACCUAUUUCCCUUUAAGCCACCACUCAUGUUCCUCUGAGUCAUUUCUUGUUGUUUGCUUUUUUGUUUUCAAAAAGAGAAUAGUAGGACUGGGGUUGUGGCUCAAGUGGUGCGUUCCCCCAGCACGUGUGAGGCACUGGGUUUGAUCUUCAGCACUACAUAAAAGUAAAAUAAAGAUAUUGUGUCCACCUAAAACUAAAAAAUGAUUUUAAAAAAGAGAGAUAACAGCCCAAAGAACACUCAAUAGACAUCAAUAAUGUGAAUUUCACUUCCCCCUUGGAAAAAAAUUUGGAUUUAGCACAUAGAAGAUGACUAUAUAGUUAUAAAAGAAAUCCUUUAAUAUAUUUAGCUUUCUUCUCAUUCUUCAUCCCAGAGAACAAAGGCAGCUUUUGUCUACACUCUGCUUAUGUGACUGAUUUCCUGUCUCUCAGAGCCCAAUUCUCUUUCCCAAAGGCAUACUAAGAAUUUCUCCCAAGAAGCCCAUGAGGUCCCCAUACAAAUAUCACUCCUGGAAGUCUGUCUUAGCAUCCCAGGAUGUUAAGUAUAUAGAUUAAGUUUCAGUUGUUCUCAAAGGAUCACUUUGAAGGUAUAUUUUGUAAGCUCAUUAAAAACUCAACUCUCAUUACUUUCAGGCAUGCUCCUGUAUGCUAUGUACUAUUAUAAUUAGAACCUCGUGAAAAUCACAAAAAUCUACUUAAAAGAUGAUGGCAGUACCAAAUACCAGCUUCAAAAUGCCACUACUUUCAGGGCCCCUGAAAGCAUUGCUACAGAAAUGAGCUUAGAUCAUUCCCAAAUCUAAGUGCAUAAGACAAAUUCCUUCAUUUCUACACAUAAAUACACUUCAUGCUCAAGUGAGGGAGAAUGGAAAGAUCAUUCUAGGCAGAGUUCCAGGACAUGAAGAAGGUCAAACACAAAACAAUGUUCUCACAGGUUUGAAAGUAAUUAUAUAUGGCUUGACUAGAAAGGUUGAGAGGGUGAAUGGCAAGAAUUAAAGCUGGAGGGCUUGGGCUGUAGCACAAUGGUAAAGUGCUUGCCUCUAUUGUGUGAGGCAAUGGGUUCGAUCCUCAGCGCCACAUAAAAAUAAAUAAAGAUAUUGUAUGUCCAUUUACAGCUAAAAAAAUUAAAUCUGGAGAAAAAUCAUUAAGCCAUGUAUUUUAUAAUAAGGAGUAUAUAUUUUAUUCUGAGAGCAAUGGAGACCCACCAAAAGGCAACAAGGUAUGGCAAGAAAAAAAAAAUUGUUUCGUGCUUUAGAAAAAUCAUUAUAGCUGCAAGAUAGAGAAGGGAGGAAGGCAAGUCUGGGUAGAAGGUAUGCAGGAUAUUUUCUGUUCACCUCUCCAGAUGCUUUCUCCAUCAUCUAUCUGAUUGUGUCCCAGAAGUUUGAAAUGUGUGCAUUCCCUACAGGUUUCCUUGCCCCUCUAACUGUUGGUUGGAUCCAGUAUUAGGACAGAGCAGCAGAUCAGAGAUUAGGGGGAAGGAGAGGUCCAAACAUUUAUUCCCCAUCUACCUCUCUGUUGAGUCAUUGUGUGAGGAUACCUGCCACCACCAAAGGUCACAGCUAUUAGCAGUCAGCACCUUCCAUACAACUGCCAUCUUCCAAUCCUUAUAAUCAUUCCCUCCCCUGCCCUUCAACUGUAUGGGUAGUAAUGAGUCCAGCUUUGCUAGGACUGUUAAAACUUUGCCUCCCUUGUUGGUCUCCCUAAACUGUGCAUAUGCCUUGUGAAUGGUUCCUUUAUUGAACACUCCUCAAAUUAUCUAGUUUGUGUGUGCCAUCUAUUUCUUACCAAGACUCCAAUGGAUGCAGAAAGAAACCAGUAAUACUGUGAUGGUUAGCAUUUAUUAUGUUCUAGGCACUCUCCUAUGUCGGGUUUCUGAUCUCACGACUAAAAGGCUCAGGGGUCACUCCAGGUAAACUGGGAUAACUGGGCUGCACAAAAUAACCACACAAGAGACACAAAUACCUUUUUAUUUGGGGUCGCUGUGACAGCUUCUCUGACCUUAAGGGUCCGCAGGAAGAGAGAGAGAGAGCAGGAGCUGACCCCUUUUAUUGAGGAGAAGCUAUUCAAAUGAGGCAAGGGGUCAGGUUUCAGGGGGUUGAGUCUGUCUUCACAUGUCUACUCUCAGCAGGUUGACUGAUAUCUGGGUAGGCCACACACAAGGGCACAGUAAGGGAAGGGAACACACACAAGGCACUUCCAUGGAAGAUUCUAUCCUAAACAGGGCAAGGGGUUAUAUUAAAAAGGAACAGGUAAGCGUAGUUCCACACCCAUGCACGAGACACCUUCCCUCAAACCCAAGAAAGGUGGGGAAAGCUCUGCCACAUUUCUGUGACGGAGUGCCUCAGCACCCAGCUGGGGAGUAUGACUCAGUCACAUGCAAGGUUGGUCUCCCACACUCCUACACAGUUUAUAUAUAUUUAAUGCUCACAGAAGCCCUAUGAAGUAUCCUUCCUUUACAGAUGAGGAAUCUGUGAUACAGAGAGAUUGGAUAAUUUUCCUAAAGUCACACAGUUUGUGAAAAACUGAGCCAGAACAGACAUAGUCUGUUUCUAGAGUGUAUUUUCUUGACCACCAUGCCCUCUGGUGAGGUAAGAGUUGAUGUUGUAAGUUGCAGCAAUAACAAUGGAAUAGAGAAAAAUGAAGGAAUUUAAGACCAGUUGUUGCUAAACCCAGUGUAAUUUAAAGUAUCAAUUGGGAUCAAGAGGCAAUGAGGACUGGGGUGGUGGCUCAGUGGUAGAGUGCUUGCCUAGCACAUUCUAGGCCCUGGGUUCGAUCCUUAGCACCACAUAAAAAUAAAUAAAUAAAAUAAAGGUAUUGUGUCCAACUAUAAAUAAAAAAAUUUUAAAAAGAGGCAUUGAAAUUCACUGGUUAUAAACAUAGAUUUGGGAAUUAGAUGGACCAGGCUCAUAUUAUGUUAGCUGAGUGAUUUUUUUUUUUUUUUUUUUUGUAACAGGGAUUGAGUGCUGAGCCACAUCCCCAGCCCUACUUUGUAUUUUUUAUUUAAAGACAGGAUCUCACUGAGUUUCUUAGCACCUAGCCAUUGCUGAGGCUGGCUUUGAACUUGGGAUCCUGCUGUCUCAGCCUCUGGAGCCACUGGGAUUAUAGGCCUGUGCCAUUCAUUAUACCUGGCUAGCUGAGUAAUCUUAAAUAAGUCAUUUUCUCUUUCUGGAUUUCAGUUCCUGCAUCUGUAAAAUAGGAUUAAUAAUGUCUACUCCACUGAGUUUCUUUAAGAAUUAAACAAGAUCCUUUCACAUAUUACUUAAUCUGGCAUGUAGUAGAUCUUAAUAAAUAAGAUUUUUAAUAAAGGUGCUUAAUGAAUAUUUAUAAAUAAAUAAACCCAGAGAGACAUGGGAGCACCUGUUGGAAUUUAGGUAUGUUAGCUCCAAAAUGCUAUCAUCAGUGACUAAGAACUUGCCCUGAGAACAAACCAGCCCUUCCCCUCCUUUCUGUGCCUGUGUUACUUGGCUAUUUUUGUGGUAUAUUUUUUUGAUGAGGUACCAGGGAUUGAACCCAGGGGCACUUAACCACUGAACUACAUUCCCAACCUUUUUAAUAUUUUAUUUUGAGAUAGGGUCUUGCUUGCUAAAUUGUUUAGGGCCUCGUUAAGUUGCUGAGGCUGGCUUUGAACUCGAGAUCCUACUGCCUCAGCCUCCCAAGCUACUGAGAUUAUAGGCAUGUGCCACUACUCCUUGCUAUGGUAUUUUUUUUUAAUAUUUAUUUAUUUAUUAUUUUUAUGUGGUGCUGAGGAUCGAACCCAGUGCCUCAUUCUUGCUAGGCAAGUGCUCUACCACUGAGCUACAACUCCAGCCCCUGUGAUGUGUUUUUAACUAUGAUGUUUGAGUUAUUGGUUAUUUGUUUUUUCUCUCCUGCUAAGCUCCACUAGUCCAAAUUCAUAUCCUUAUCCUCAGUUACUAUCAUUAUAUGUAGCACACACUAAGAACUCAGUAAUAUUUGUUGAAUGAAUGACUCAGUACUUCUAGGAAACGAUUCCCUGAGUUUCAUCUCAAUUAUCUUUCUUGCUGUCAUGUAGAUUAGAAAAUUACUCUACUUUUUUAUUAAUUACUUUUUCAUUUAUUCAUAAAUCCUAGUGCACACUAGGUGCUUGGCAAAUAUUUUUAAAUGAAUGAACUAACAUUAAGCAAUUGCAGUAAAUUGGAAGCUAUACUCAGAAUAGCUAGAUUCAAAUAUUGGCUUUAAUGCUGUGAGACAUAGUUAGAUAUUAUCAAUGUGCCUCAAUUUCCUCAUGUAUAAAAUGAGGAUAAUUGAAUUUAUUUCAUAGACAUAUAAAUAUUUUGAGAAUUAAAUGAUAAAACUGGCUGGCCCAUGGCAAGGCUUAACAAAUGUUAUCUAGGUAAUGUUGAAAAUGAGGGAGUCACUCUGGAGCCACCAUGCAUUGUUUUUUGUUGUUGUUGUUGUUUUCCUAUUAACAAAGUGUGUAACACCUAGUGCUCAAAGCAUUACUCUGAGCCUGCCUCCCACCACAUCACUGGUCAAGGAAUAGGUCUCAAACUUCAGAGGUCUUAACAAACAUCAAGGAAGAUAGUUUGCAAUAAAAACAAAACAAAACCAGAUUCAUAGGCCCACAUUUUGAGGAAUGCUGAACUAGGUUCUUAACAAAUCAACUUUUUAAUUGAAAUUGGUUUUACACUGCAACCCUGUCCUUGAAUUUGUGUCUGAACCUUUUGUACUUCCCAAGAAUUAACCCCAGUUAGUGUGAAGUUUCAGUCUCUCAUGAUCUACUGCAGGACCAAUGUGCAAAGUGGUCCGUACUUAUUGGAUGUUUUUUCACUGCUCAUAUGCCAGACAGCCUGCUAAUUUCCACUUCCUCAACUUGGCUAGUUUCUCAGAGUGAACCUCUUUCUUUUUAGGUUCAAAUACUCCCCAUCAAUGGCUGGCUUUGAACUUGGGAUCCUCCUGUCUCAGCCUCCUGAGCCACUGGGAUUAUAGGCCUGUGCCAGUGUACCUGGCUAGCUGAGUGAUCUUAAAUCAGUCAUUUUCUCUUUCUGGAUUUCAGUUUCUGCAUCUGUAAAAUAGUACCCAUUCAUCAAAAUUAGCUCAAGCUUAAUCCCCCUUGCCCCAUCACAUGCAUGUCCUUAGAAACCAUUCUUGGCUUUCUCAGUUGUACCUUUCUUUCCUCCUCAUUGUGGGUUGUACAUCUGUGCUUUCUUAAAGGGCCACUUUAAGAUUAAAUGGAGGGCUGGGGCUGUAGCUUAGUGGUAGAGCGCUUGCCUAGCAUGUGUGAGGUCCUGGGUUUGAUCCUCAGCACCACAUAAAAAAUAAAUAAAUAAAACAAAGGUCCAACAACAACUAAAAAAAAUUUUUAAAAAGAUUAAAUUGAAUGAUGGUCAUGAAAAAUAGUGUCUGUCGGGCUGGGGUUGUGGCUCAGUGGUAGAGUGCUUGCCUAGCAUGGGUGAGGCACUGGGUUCAAUUCUCAGCACCACAUAUAAAUAAAUAAAAUAAAGGUCCACUGACAAUUAAAAAGAUAAAAAGGUCUUUCCAUAUUGAUUUUUCCAGAUUAUAUCAUCAUAUGUUAGUAACCAAGGGGGUCAAAAUCAAAAAAUUUAUAAUUCUGAUUCUAAAGACUCAUAUUAUGAGUCUCUAUUGACCAUAAAACUAAGGAGCCAGAUUGGGGUUGUGGCACAGUGGUAGAGCACUUGCCCAGCACAUGUGAGGUACUGGGUUUGAUCCUCAGCAUCACAUGAAAAUAAAUAAAUAAAAUAAAAUAAAUGUGUCUACCUACCAUUAAAAAAUUUUUUUAAAAAAAUCACUAAGGAUUCCAUGUGAUUUUGGGACUAAAAACUAAUAAUAGUCUGAAGGUUUUGACCCAAAAUUUUUGUUAAAGAAUGGGGGAAAGUAUGAAGGUAGAGAAAACAGGUUUUACUGAUAGUCCUGGGUAAGCUCCUAACUUUCUGAAAGCUGGACCUAGUGUUUGUCCCAACACCUUUGUAACCUCUAGAAUUGCUUAGCAAAAUGAUUUCUACUGAGUAAGUACUCCAUUCAUGUAUAAUUGAAUCAUGGGAAGCUGCACCAUAUUCUUGAUUUUCGUGCCCCACAUAAGAAACACUAAGAUCUGGUGAAUAUGUUUCCCCUACCUUAUUGUGAUGAAUUGUGUAAGUAUGAAGCAAAAGGGAAAGAAUAAAGGUAUGUGUGACCCUAUAAUGGACAGAAUUGUGCCUCCCUCUUCAUAUGUUAACGUACUAACCCUCAAAGUAACUAUAUCUGAAGAUAUAUAAGACUAUAAUUAAGGUAAAGGAGGUCAUAAAAAUGAAGCCCUAAUUCAAUAUAACUGGUGUCCCUAUAAGAGACAGAAACACCAAGAAGGCAAGUGUCAGAGAAAAGACCAUGUGAGGACUCAGCAAGAAGGUAGCCAUCUGCAGCUUAGGAAAACCAAACCUGCUGACACCUCGAUCUUUGACUUCCAGCUUCCAGAACUGUGAUAAAAUAAAUUCUGUCGCUUAACACACAAAGUCUGUGAUAUUUUGUGGUGGUGGACCUAGCAGAUUAAUACAGACUUUAUUCUACUUUCUAUGUAUUUAUUUACUUAUUAUUUAAUUUUUGGUGCCAGGGACCAAACCUACAUCUUUGCAGAUGCUGAGUACACUCUCUACUGUGAAAUAUAUCCCUGGUUACCUAUUCUACUUUUCUAAUACAAGUUAAAUUUCCUCAAAGUGUGUUCAGUGCAACUUUAGCAAAGUUUUAAUAGAUAUACAGAAAAGAGGUUUAAUGGUCAAAUAAACUUGAGAAACAUAGGGUUAAAACAAAAUAAAUCUGAUUCUCAGGGUUUUAAAUUUGCUAACAGGGGCUGGGGUUGUGGCUCAGCGGUAGAGUGCUCACCUCGCAUGUACGAGGCCCUGGGUUUGAUCCUCAGCACCACAUAAAAAUAAAUGAAUAAAUAAAAUAAGUGUAUUGUGUCCAACUACAACUAAAAAUAUAAAUAUUUAAAAAAAUAAAUUUGUUAACAUACAUUUUGAUUCUCCAAUAUAAUGCAGUAUACAACAUUUCCCAAAGUUGUUUGGAUAUAAAACUUCCUACCCUUUUUUGGAGCAGUGCAUAUUCCAUAGGACUAGUAUUCUGUGGUAAACAAUUUAGAAGUAUAGUUUUAUUUUUCUUAUGCUGAUCUGCCUGCGUUUAAAACUAUCCCAUUAUACACUGUCAGAUGUUGAAGAAAAAACCCUGGGAAAGAGAGUCUGAGUCAAGUAGUAUAAAGCUCCAAAUGAAUCCUUCCUGGAAUGAGAAACAACCCUUUCUGGAGGUCCUCAGAGAAACAAUUAUUUACUGUUAUUCCACCAACAUCCUUCUUCAAGGACCAACCCAGAUUUAGAAGUUUCAAUGGCCAAACCCAAAAUUGAAACUUACUACCUACAAGGAAGUCAAACUACAGUCUGGGAAUCAAGACAUUUGUAACUAUUUCUAUUUUUUUUAUUCUUUUUUGUUUCUCCAAAAACAUAGGCAAUAAAAAUAUUUUAAACAAAAGGACCCUUUGAGCUUGCUGUCUAAGCAAGAAGAAGAUGAAGAGAGAGUGUACCCAAUACCAUAGUCAGAUUGGGAUGUGCAUGGAGAGGAGGGGUGGCAGAGUAACCCAAAAGUAGUGUACAGUAACAGACACCAAAAAGAGAGGGAAAUAGGCAGAGUCUGUGGAGCUUCUAACAAGGAAGAAAGAAUAAAGGAAGCUCUUUUUGGCUUGUGCGGCAGGAUUUAGUCUUUAAAAGAAAGGGGAAAAAAAGAUAUAAAUGAAGCCUCCUCAACUCUAUAUAGAGAUUUGGAGGUCCUAGGCCAAAGUCAGAUGUUGUUUCAGUGAAGGUUCAUCACAUACUUAUUGAGUACUUAUUAUGUGUCAGCAUUGUUCUAGCAAAGAAAUAACAAAAAUCUCUGCUUUCACAACUUUACCUUCUGGUGGGAGUUUUUUUGUUUUUAGUUUUCUGCUUUUUGUUUGUUUGGUUUGCUGUGCUGGUGAUGGAAUCUGGGACCUCAUACAUGGUAGACAAGUGCUGUACCACUGAGCUACAUUCCCAGUCCUCUAGUCAUUGUUUAUCAUAUUUAUGCUAAUUUUUAUUGUAAAAAUAUCAUAGAGAAGAUUGUGUACAACAUAUGGGGCCAUACUAAAAAUAAUCACAAAGAAUAAUCAUAAAGCAAACAUAAAUCUACAAACAGCCUUGCUUAUGAAAUAGAAUAUUACCAGAACAUAAUGAGUUCCCAUGUAAUUUUUAUAUCAUGUUUUCCUCUCCCACAGAGAUAACACCUAUUCUGAAUUUUGUAUUAAUAAUUUCCUUGCAUUUUUAAUUAAUUUAUUUAUUUUAAUAAGGUAUAUAUGACAGCAGAAUGCAUUUUGAUUCAUUGUACACAACUGUGGCACAACUUUUCAUUUCAAUGAUUCCCUUGCAUUUCUUUAUAAGUUUUACCACAGUUUCUGUGAAAUACUAAGCAAUUUUUUAUCAGUCAGGGUCCUGGCAGGAAACAGAUGGUACAGUCAAAUUAGGAUAAUUUGAGGAGAGUUUAUUAAAAAAACUGUUUACAAGGGUGCCAGCAGGGUAUGGUAAGAACACCGAAUAAGAUAUUAGCCUGAGGCUGAUAAGAGGUCUUAUUACUCUAGGCUUGAAAGGGAGGGGAGAGAGUUAUAACAGGAAAUCAGAGACAGUUGGGAGGAGUACUUGAUAGGGGCUGAUACCUACAGAAGAGGGAACCCAGCCAGUGUACAUCAACCCCCACUGAGAAUAACAGAGAAUAAAAUCAAACCUACUGGGCUGGGGACGUGGCUCAAGCGGUAGCGCGCUCACCUGGCAUGCGAUCCUCAGCACCACAUACAAACAAAGAUGUUGUGUCUGCCAAAAUCUAAAAAAUAAAUAUUAAAAAAUUCUCUCUCUCUCUCUCUCUCUCUCUCUCUCUCAAAAAAAAAAAAAAAAAUCAAUCCUACUGUCCUUUAGUUCUCUAAACUUCUGUGCUGCCUCCUUUCAAUGAAACCUAACCAAAGUGAGAAGUCAAAGAAGCCCAUUGGUGUGACCUAUGUAGUUCAGCCUCCUAGAAAUCAGAGAAGUAUGUAGAGGCUCAAACAGAAGAUAUCUAGACAAAAUAUCUUGCUUAGUUUUGCCUGUUUAAGUUUAUAGAAAUGGAAUCAUACAGUGUAUAUCUUUUUGCAAUUUGACUUUUGGCUCAUUCAUUAGAGUAGUUCAUGAAUAAACAAGCAGUAGCUUGUUCAUUCAUAAUCAGUUCUGUAUAAUGUCCCUUUGUAUGACCUAAUCACAAUAUAUUUAUCCAAUCUAUAAUUAAUGGACAUUUGGGCUGGUUCCAAGUUUUUAUAUUUCAGAAACAAUACUGCUGUGAAUAUUUUUGUGAGUAUCUCUUAUUACAAGAAUGCAUAUGAUAUAUAUGUAAUUGCUGAAUCAUAGGUGCAAGUUAAACUAUAAUGGAUAAUAAGAAACUAUUUUCCAAAGUCAUACUAUCUACACUGCAACUAGCAUUAAGUGAGGGUUCAUCUUGUUCUACAAUCUAACAUUUGGCAUUGUCAGACUUUCUAAUUUUUUUUUUCUUAAGUGGUGGUUGGGAUCAAACCCAGGGCCUCACAGAUGCUAGGCAAAUUCUCCACCAAUGAACUACACUUCCAGCCCCAGAGGUUGCAAUUUUUUUUUUCAGUGAGAAAUAGUAUCUUAUGGUUUUAAUUUGCAUUUCCUGUUACUAACAUGAUUGAAUGUCUUCUCAUAUGCUUUUUGUUUAUCUAUAUUACCUCUUCUAAGAAAUUAUUUUCCUUACAUUUAUUUUUCUGCUUCUCUUUAGUCAGUUGUAUGUCUUAUAAAUACCUUCUCCCCCUUAGUGCCUUGUUUUUAUAUUCAUUAUGAGGUAUCUUUUGGUGUACACAGUUGUUACUUUUACUGUGUUUGAAUUGGAACUAUUUUCCUUUAUGGUUUGCACUUUUGGUACCUGUAUAAGAAAUCUUUCUCUGCCCUGAAGUCAAACAUAUUUCUUAUUUUGUAUUUCAAAAAUUCCAUUGUUUUACAUUAUACUAUAAACUUGAACACCUUCCUAUAUAAGUCUUGCCAUGGUCUGAAUGUAUGUUCUUCUCUCCCAAAAUUCUUAUGUUGGAACUUAAUAUCCAGUGUGAUAGUAUUAAGAGAUGAAGCCUUUUGAAAAGUGAGAUGAGGCCUUUGCCCUCAUGAAUGGGAUUAGUAUCCCUUUAUUUAAAAAAAAAAAAAAGUGAAGGGAGUGCUCUUGUCUCUUUUUCCUUCCCACCAAGCAAGAACACAGCAUUUGUUCCUCCCAUGUGAGGAUGCAGCAAGAUGCUAUUAUUGAAGCAAAGAAAGCCAGCCCUCACCAAACACUGAAUCUGCCUGCACCUUUAUCUUGGACUUUCCGAAACUGUGAGAAAUAAGUUUCUAUUAUCUAUAAAUUACAUAGUGUAAGGUAUUUUGUUAUAGAAGCUCUAAUAUACUAAGACAAGUCUUAAAUAUACUUAGAAUUGAUGUCUGUGCAUGGUGGAAGGUAGGCAUCAAAGCUAAUUUUUUACCUCAGAGAGAAUCAGUUAUUGAAUAGUCUUUAGCUUUUUAUAACUAAUUUGAAAAUACUUCCUAGGACAAAAAAAGUGUUUUCAUUUUGUAUUAGACUUUUCUUGGAUUCUCUGUGUACUUUUCUAUACCUUUGGAAACUCUAUAGUCUUCAUUUGAGCAUCUCUAUAACAAAUUUUGAUAUCUGGUAGGGCAGAGCUAUCUCAUUCUUUGGAAUUUUCUUGGGUCUUCCAGGAAAGAGCUUAAGUUCCAUGGGGAAAAAAUCUAAUUUAAUUGGAAUUGCAUUGGAUCUAUGCAUAAAUGUGAGGGUAAUGGAUACUUCUAAAGUAUUUUUAUGAUAAAAGUAUAGAUGUGCAUUAUAAAAAGAAAAUAUUGAUAAGCAAAAAGAAAAACAUAAAACAGUCCAACAACCCAGAGACUACCACUAUUAAUAUUGCAGCAUAAUAUAUUCUUCUGUAUUUGUGUGUGUGUGUGUGUGUUGCUGGGGAUAGAACCCAGAGACUUGUUCAUGCUAAGUGUGCACUCUAUCUUUGAGCUAUACCUCUGGCCCCUAGUGUUUUAAUCUUAUGGUAAUUGACAAUCUAUAACAUUAAGUCUCUGUACUAAAGAGGUACACUCUCUGUUUAUUUCAGUCUUUAAUAUCUUUCAAUAAUUUUGUAUAAAAUUCUCCCUAAAAGAUAUGCACAAACUUGUUAGAUUUAUUCCAAGGGACUUUAUAUACUUUUUCUACUUUGAAUUAUACCUUUUAAAAAUUGAUUUGGGACUGGGGAUGUAGCUCAGUAGUAGAGCACUUACCUAGCAUGCACAAGGCCCUGGGCUUAAUUUUUAGCACUAUAAAAUGAAAUGAAAUUAAAUAUAAAGUAAAAUAAAAUAAAAAUAGCUUCUAAAAAAAACAGUGCUCUUUUGUUUAUUACUAUAUGCCCAAUAUAGGCCUUGUGGCUAACAUGCAGUAUGUGCUCAGGAAGUACUUAUUAAUUCAAUGAAUGAAUAAAAAGACCUAGUAAACUGUUGAGUGAUCUAAUGAAAUAUACAUAGGGGACUUACUUGUUAUUUUCUGCUAGCUUACCACAUUAAGGACUUCAGUUUCAGAAGACUUCUAUUUAAUACUAGUUCUCCAGGAAUAAUGACUUAUUAAAUCAUUAUCUUUUAGAUCAUCUUAAUAGAGGAAUAGUUUAAUAGCAUCUAUCCUGUUGUCGGAUCUGAGAGUAUGGUAAUUUUAAUGUUGGGGAAGGCAAAACAUGCUCUAUGACAGCAUGAAGACACUAGUUACCUGUAAAGUGUGAUAGGGUUUUAAUAUUUAUGUCUUCUCCAAAAUUCAUGUAGAAACUGUAUUAAGAGGUGUGGCCUUGGACUGGGGUUGUAACUCAGUGGUAGAGCGCUUGUCGUGCACAUGUGAGGCACUGACUUCAAUCCCCAGCACCACGUAAAAAUAAAUAAAGUAAGGUAUUUAUCUAUCUACAACUUAAAAAAAAAGAGGUGUGGCCUUUAGGAGAUAAUGAGGUCACAUGGGCUCUGCACUCAUGAAUGGGAUCAGGUGCCCUCAUAAACAGGUCUGAUGAAAGCCAGUGGCACAUACCUAUAAUCCCAGCAACUUGGGAAGCUGAGGCUGGAGGAUGGCAAGUUGAAUGCCAGCCUGGGCUACAUAGACUCUGUCUCAAAAUAAAAAAUAAAAAGGGCUGGGGAUAUAGCUCAGUGGUAGAGCAUCCCUGAGUUCAAUCUCCAAUACCAAAACAAAACAAAAAACAGGGCAGGGGGUAGAUUUUGAUGGAGCAAGUUUGCCUUUUUGGCCCCUUCCAUCUCUUCUACCAUGUGAGGAAAUAAGAGUUCCUUCUCUCUAGAGAAUACAGCAAAAAAGUGCCAUCUUGGAAGCAAAGAACAGCCUUGAACAGAUCCCAAUCCUGCGAGAACCUUGAUCUUAGUUUUCCCAGCCUCCAUAACUAUGAAAUAUUUCUGUAUAUUUUUUUUCUUCAUAAAUUACCCAGUCUGUCCAGGUGCAGAAACAUAUGCCUGUAAUCUCAGAGGUUCAGGUGGCUAAGACAGGAGAAUUACAAGUUCAAGAUGAGCCUGAGCAAUUUAGUGAGGCCCUAAGCAAUUUAGUGUCUCAAAAUAAAAAAUUAAAAGGUCUAGGGAUGGGGCUGGGGUUGUGGCUCAGUGUAGAGUGCUCACCUGCCACAGUCUGGCUGGGCACAAAUCACAAGCCACUCAAGAGGAAUAAACUUUAUUUCUGAACUUCACCAGCACACUCCACACAUGCUCCCCGGGAACUCUCCCAAACGCCACCCACACAGUUCCUCCAGGAACUACCAACCGGAAAUCCCUCCUCCGGCACUUCCCCAACCAAUGCAAACUCUCCAGUAAUCCCCAUGAGAACUCCAAAGUAGCGCGAGAACUCCAAAGUAGCGGGGGCGAGGCAGACAGUAAAGGUCUAAUAUACAAUUGAAUCAAUUCAGCAUCAUCUUAAUGGCUCACCUCUCAACCAAUACUAUUGGCAAAAUGCCAGGGGCCAUUCCAACUCGGCUGUGGCCCUCAACAUCUCCCCCCUUCUGUUUAAUUAAACAACAAGCAAUGUGGCUUAGGGACCGUGCCUGUUAGGUUGUCCAAUACUACAUAUGGUUCUUACCCGUCAUUGGAUAAGCUGACCUCAAGGCAUCAGCAUCCUGUCUUAGAUUGGUACCACUGCAAUUGGAUCUUACCCGUCACUGACUACCGGUCCAGCAUACAGCCAUACUUGUGGAUAGGCCUUUGCACCAGUGGGGGGGUGAGGUUCUUUGCCUCACCUCUGUUGGCCCCCAAAUUUGGCCUUGGUGCCAGUGGCGGGGGGUGAGGUUCUUUGCCUCACCUCUGUUGGCCCCCAAAUUUUAGACUAUCACUAGCAGAAGGGAGGAGGAUUCAGAAAUGCCAUGACACCAAGCCAAUUGAUGGCUCCUUUGGAAAAAUUGUACCACCAGUGACACCAUCAGCAAAGAUACUCCAGCACUACCACAAUUCGCUGCACCAACAGAUAGUUCACAAUGCAUACAAGUAAUACAUAGUCCAGGCAAGUUCUGUAAGCAGUUCAAAGCAGAGGAAUCCAUCAAUAUGUCCAUUUCCUACCAAAGUAAAUCGACUACUUGAUUGAGCAUCACUUGUUGAGUUAUUAUUCAUUGAUUCAUCAGUUUAUACAGUUUACUGUGAUAACUAUCAAAGAAGCUGUAGUUUGUUUUUAUCUUUGUCUUCACCGGCACUGGGAUGAAGAUAGGAAUUCUGGCAAUGAUGGCUAAAAAAAAAAUUAUGUAACAUUCCAACAGGUACUAAGAAAACAAUUUUCUGAACAAUUUACAUUAUCCUGAACAGAAUUAUUAAAUAUUGCCACAGUCUGUCUGGGCACAAAUCAUGAGCCACUGAAGCAGGAACAAACUUUAUUUCUGAACUCCACCAGCACACUCCACACACGCUCCCCGGGAACUCUCCCAAACACCAUGCGGCUCCUCCAGGAACCACCAACCAGAAAUCCCUCCUCUGGAAAUCCCUCCUCCAGCACUUCCCCAACCAAUGGGAACUCUCCGGGAAUCCCCACGAAAACUCCAAAGUAGCGCCAGAACUCCAAAGUAGCAGGCCAAGGUGGACAGUAAAGGUCUAAUAUACAACCGAAUCAAUCCAGCAUCAUCUUAAUGGCUUGCCUCUCAACCAAUACUAUUGGCAAAAUGCCAGAGGCCAUUCCAACGUGGCUGUGGCCCUCAGCAUCUCCCCCCUUCUGUUUAAUUAAACAACAAGCAAUGUGGCUUAGGGACCAUGCCUGUUAGGUUGUCCAAUACACAUAUGGUCCUUACCCGUCAUCAGAUGAGCUGACCUCAAGGCGUCAGCCUCCUGUCUUAGGUUGGUACCAUUGCAAUUGGAUCUUACCCGUCACUGACUACUGGUCCAGCAUACAGCCAUACUUGUGGAUAGGCCUAUGCACCAGUGGGGGGGGAGGGGUGAGGUUCUUUGCCUCACCUCUGUUGGCCCCCAAAUUUUAGACCAUCACUAGCAGAAGGGAGGAGGAUUCAGAAAUGCCACGACACCAAGCCAAUUGAUGGCUCCUUUGGAAUAAUUGUACCACCAGUGACACCAUCAGCAAAGAUACUCCAGCACUACCACAAUUCGCUGCACCAACAGAUAGUUCACAAUGUAUACAAGUGAUACAUAGUCCAGGCAAGUUCUGCAAGCAGUUCAAAGCAGAGGAAUCUAUCAGUAUGUCCAUUUCCUCCCCAAGUAAAUUGACUCCUUGAAUGAGCAUCACUUGUUGAGUUAUUAUUCAUUGAUGUAUCAGUUUAUACAGUUUACUGUGAUAGCUAUCGAAGAAGCUGUAGUUUGUUUUUAUCUUUGUCUUCACCGGCACUGGGAUGAAGAUAGGAAUUCUGGCAAUGAUGCUAAAAAAAAUUAUGUAACAUUCCAACAGGUACUAAGAAAACAAUUUUCUGAACAAUUUACAUUAUCCUGAACAGAAUUUUAAAUAUAAUGAAAAGGAAAGGUGAAAGUAAACAAACAGAUCUGUUAACCUCCUUUGAAAACAAUUCUCAACAGCUGUUUACCUAAUUUAAAUUAAACCAUAUAAAUCAUGUGAAUAAAAAAAAUUUUGGAUCCAUUUUUCAUGAGCGCUCCCCAUAUAUGAUAUAUGACAUAUGCACAUACAGACAUACAACACAAAACACAAGUAUGCACACAUAACAUACAACACAUAAGACAAUAGUAGAGGUCUUGUAGCUUUACACAGGUGAAAUCUCCAUUGCAAUGUUUAAAAACUCCACAGUCAAAAAAUAAAACUGAUCAGAAAAACAUUAGCCUAGGUCUGUAUGAGCUCAAAAAAUAAAAUAGAACUUUAUGAUGUGGGAAAGGGCAAUAAUAAAAUAGACAUUGAAAAAAGACAUCCUGGUUACCACCUGAGUUUGACUCUUUUUUGGAUAUCCCAUCCUUUUUCCUGUAACUUGCAUAAUGGGUCUGAAGGUAUUCCCACAAGCAAGCCCCAAGGUUUUUAUAUUUGAAAUAGGCUUUAAUGGUGUUCAUUAUUCAUUAGCCUCCAGGUGUGGGAGAACCACUGUUGCAGAUGUAAGAAUAGCCAAGCUGGAACUCUGGAUAUCAGCUGUUAUGGAUUUCAGUCACAUCAUCUUCUUUUUGGUCUGUAGAAAUCGCUUUGGUUAGUCUCUCUGGAAUCCAAAUCGGCUGCUGUUCUCCCUGUGGAAACACACAAACAGAACUCCGACUCCAGACAAUCACUGGGUCAGGACCUUUCCAUUGUCCUAUUAGAAUAUCCAUCCAAAGUACCUUAGGCU